This 88-nucleotide unclassified non-coding RNA is filed under the name Pseudomonas synxantha. Lineage: Bacteria; Pseudomonadati; Pseudomonadota; Gammaproteobacteria; Pseudomonadales; Pseudomonadaceae. The record is from RNAcentral.
GUGGGAGGGGGCUUGCUCCCGAUGACGGUAUAUCAGUCAGCCUAUGUAUUGACUGAUACACCGUCAUCGGGAGCGAGCCCCCUCCCAC